This 440-nucleotide ribosomal RNA is filed under the name uncultured bacterium. RNAcentral's name for it is "partial 16S ribosomal RNA". It matches the Rfam family "Bacterial small subunit ribosomal RNA", at positions 338 to 795 of the family's 1533-position model. The record is from RNAcentral.
CCUACGGGAGGCAGCAGUGGGGGAUAUUGCACAAUGGGGGGAACCCUGAUGCAGCGACGCCGCGUGGGUGAAGAAGCGCCUCGGCGCGUAAAGCCCUGUCAGCAGGGAAGAAAAUGACGGUACCUGAAGAAGAAGCCCCGGCUAACUACGUGCCAGCAGCCGCGGUAAUACGUAGGGGGCAAGCGUUAUCCGGAUUUACUGGGUGUAAAGGGAGCGUAGACGGCGUCGCAAGUCUGAAGUGAAAGCCCGUGGCUCAACCGCGGAACCGCUUUGGAAACUGCGAGGCUGGAGUGCUGGAGAGGUAAGCGGAAUUCCUGGUGUAGCGGUGAAAUGCGUAGAUAUCAGGAGGAACACUCGUGGCGAAGGCGGGUUCCUGGACAUUAACUGACGCUGAGGCACGAAGGCCAGGGGAGCGAAAGGGAUUAGAUACCCUGGUAGUC